UGGGUUGUGGCUCAGUGGUAGAGCACUUGCCUAGCACGUGAAAGGCUCUGGGUUCAAUCCUCAGCACCACAU
Non-coding RNA from Ictidomys tridecemlineatus (thirteen-lined ground squirrel), 72 nucleotides. The record is from Rfam. NCBI's taxonomy places the organism in Eukaryota, Metazoa, Chordata, Mammalia, Rodentia, Sciuridae.